Molecule: ribosomal RNA, 400 nt
Filed under: uncultured Pseudomonas sp.
Lineage: Bacteria; Pseudomonadati; Pseudomonadota; Gammaproteobacteria; Pseudomonadales; Pseudomonadaceae
Description: bacterial SSU rRNA
Rfam family: Bacterial small subunit ribosomal RNA
Source: RNAcentral
ACAUGCAGAGAACUUUCCAGAGAUGGAUUGGUGCCUUCGGGAACGUCUGACACAGGUGCUGCAUGGCUGUCGUCAGCUCGUGUCGUGAGAUGUUGGGUUAAGUCCGUAACGAGCGCAACCCUUGUCCUUAGUUACCAGCACGUUAUGGUGGGCACUCUAAGGAGACUGCCGGUGACAAACCGGAGGAAGGUGGGGAGUGACGUCAAGUCAUCAUGGCCCUUACGGCCUGGGCUACACACGUGCUACAAUGGUCGGUACAAAGGGUUGCCAAGCCGCGAGGUGGAGCUAAUCCCAUAAAACCGAUCGUAGUCCGGAUCGCAGUCUGCAACUCGACUGCGUGAAGUCGGAAUCGCUAGUAAUCGUGAAUCAGAAUGUCACGGUGAAUACGUUCCCGGGCCUU